CAAGCAGAAUCUGAACCUCAACAAACUGAACCUCAACCUCUAAAUCUCAGCCCUCAAAACUCUCCACCUCAUUCACCUGAACCUGAACCUAAAAUUAUCACACCUACCCUUGAGGAGGCCAUUAUACAGGUUGCAGAAGCCUCAGUCCAGAAGAUCAAGUCUCUGGCUAAAAAUUCUGAAGUCAGUGAUGAUCCUAAAUCUGUUAGGACACACUGGAACAGAGUUAUUAGUUGGAUGACCUCUGAGUCUUAUAGGCUGAAGAGUAUCUCUGAACAAGUCAGAAAUGGC
This 288-nucleotide long non-coding RNA is filed under the name Lathyrus oleraceus (garden pea). RNAcentral's name for it is "Pisum sativum (pea) long non-coding RNA (PSAT_LNC020938)". The record is from RNAcentral. Lineage: Eukaryota; Viridiplantae; Streptophyta; Magnoliopsida; Fabales; Fabaceae.